AGAGUUUGAUCCUGGCUCAGGAUGAACGCUAGCGGCAGGCUUAACACAUGCAAGUCGAGGGGUAGCCCGAAGUG
Molecule: ribosomal RNA, 74 nt
Filed under: uncultured Bacteroidota bacterium
Lineage: Bacteria; Pseudomonadati; Bacteroidota
Description: uncultured Bacteroidetes bacterium partial 16S ribosomal RNA
Source: RNAcentral